Molecule: ribosomal RNA, 533 nt
Filed under: Psychrobacter sp.
Lineage: Bacteria; Pseudomonadati; Pseudomonadota; Gammaproteobacteria; Moraxellales; Moraxellaceae
Description: bacterial SSU rRNA
Rfam family: Bacterial small subunit ribosomal RNA
Source: RNAcentral
GACCUGAUCCAGCCAUGCCGCGUGUGUGAAGAAGGCCUUUUGGUUGUAAAGCACUUUAAGCAGUGAAGAAGACUCUUCGGUUAAUACCCGGGGACGAUGACAUUAGCUGCAGAAUAAGCACCGGCUAACUCUGUGCCAGCAGCCGCGGUAAUACAGAGGGUGCAAGCGUUAAUCGGAAUUACUGGGCGUAAAGCGAGCGUAGGUGGCUUGAUAAGUCAGAUGUGAAAUCCCCGGGCUUAACCUGGGAACUGCAUCUGAAACUGUUAGGCUAGAGUAGGUGAGAGGGAAGUAGAAUUUCAGGUGUAGCGGUGAAAUGCGUAGAGAUCUGAAGGAAUACCGAUGGCGAAGGCAGCUUCCUGGCAUCAUACUGACACUGAGGCUCGAAAGCGUGGGUAGCAAACAGGAUUAGAUACCCUGGUAGUCCACGCCGUAAACGAUGUCUACUAGUCGUUGGGUCCCUUGAGGACUUAGUGACGCAGCUAACGCAAUAAGUAGACCGCCUGGGGAGUACGGCCGCAAGGUUAAAACUCAAA